RNAcentral lists this transfer RNA (73 nucleotides) under Cricetulus griseus (Chinese hamster). It matches the Rfam family "tRNA". Rfam says of the family: Transfer RNA (tRNA) molecules are approximately 80 nucleotides in length. Their secondary structure includes four short double-helical elements and three loops (D, anti-codon, and T loops). Lineage: Eukaryota; Metazoa; Chordata; Mammalia; Rodentia; Cricetidae. The record is from Rfam by way of RNAcentral.
GUCCAUCUAGCUCAGUCAGUAGAACAUGAGACUCUUAAUUUCAGAGUCAUGGGUUUGAGCCCCACAUUGGGCA